RNAcentral lists this ribosomal RNA (206 nucleotides) under uncultured bacterium. Its description in RNAcentral is "partial 16S ribosomal RNA". It matches the Rfam family "Bacterial small subunit ribosomal RNA", at positions 568 to 774 of the family's 1533-position model. The record is from RNAcentral.
UGCGUAGGCGGUUUACUAAGUCAGAUGUGAAAGCCCCGGGCUUAACCUGGGAACUGCAUUUGAUACUGGUAGGCUAGAGUAUGAUAGAGGGGGGUAGAAUUCCUGGUGUAGCGGUGAAAUGCGUAGAUAUCAGGAGGAAUACCAGUGGCGAAGGCGGCCCCCUGGAUCAAUACUGACGCUGAGGUACGAAAGCGUGGGAGCAAACA